GAUUGAACGCUGGCGGCAGGCCUAACACAUGCAAGUCGAACGGUAACAGGAAGAAGCUUGCUUCUUUGCUGACGAGUGGCGGACGGGCGAGUAAUGUCUGGGAAACUGCCUGAUGGAGGGGGAUAACUACUGGAAACGGUAGCUAAUACCGCAUAACGUCGCAAGACCAAAGAGGGGGACCUUCGGGCCUCUUGCCAUCGGAUGUGCCCAGAUGGGAUUAGCUAGUAGGUGGGGUAACGGCUCACCUAGGCGACGAUCCCUAGCUGGUCUGAGAGGAUGACCAGCCACACUGGAACUGAGACACGGUCCAGACUCCUACGGGAGGCAGCAGUGGGGAAUAUUGCACAAUGGGCGCAAGCCUGAUGCAGCCAUGCCGCGUGUAUGAAGAAGGCCUUCGGGUUGUAAAGUACUUUCAGCGGGGAGGAAGGGAGUAAAGUUAAUACCUUUGCUCAUUGACGUUACCCGCAGAAGAAGCACCGGCUA
Molecule: ribosomal RNA, 483 nt
Filed under: uncultured Escherichia sp.
Lineage: Bacteria; Pseudomonadati; Pseudomonadota; Gammaproteobacteria; Enterobacterales; Enterobacteriaceae
Description: bacterial SSU rRNA
Rfam family: Bacterial small subunit ribosomal RNA
Source: RNAcentral